AGCCCGGACCGGCCCGCCGGGAGCCAGGCCCGCUUCGUCUGCCGCCAUGGGGUCCGAAAAUCUCACUAGGCAAGUGCCCGGUGAGGAGGGCUCGCUCCCUGAGGAAGGAGCCUCCUGCUGCUCUGGUGAGCCCGGGGCCGCUCCUGAGCCCCGAGGCGGCCCCUGGCCAGGUGUGGGAGCUGAGGGGAGCUGGAGGCCGGGCUGGCUCCCCAAACCUGCCCUGGUCCCGGGUCCCCUCGGGGAAAUGUGGGCCUCCCUCACGACAGCGGCCCCCAGGUUCCUGCUGACAUGAGGGUACACAAACCACCAAGGAAAACACUGUCGUGUGUACACAGACGCCUGAAAUCGUCUGUCAGAAGUUACAGUUUGAAGACAUAAAGUCGUGUUCUCAAAGGAGAAAAAGCAACCGGAGCAAAUACGAAGAAAUGCGAGGAGAAUUUCUCUUUCCGCAACGCCAGGUAUGAGGAAGAAUAGUUAGUUCCCAGUCUGUAUGGAGGUGUGCCAUUCAAAGGGGAGUACCAUGAGGGCAUCAUUCCCGACAGAAAAGAUCCUUGUGAGUGGGCACAAGUGCAAUAGACAAUGAGCCGAAGAGCAAAUUUCAUUUAGCGUAUGAGCCUUGAAUGAACCAUGCAGAACCCGCACCCCGUAAGAGAAGGGACGAGACCCCCGCGGCCACCUGGCCAGCAGCCCAGCGCUGUGCGGCCCCGGUCUCGGGGCUCGGUGGCCGCUGUCCAGCUGCGAUCCGGCAGGGAGGAGCCGCCAGCCCAGCGCCACCUUCCCUCCCCGGGAGUGCCCGCAGCGACAGCAGCGCUGGCAACAGCGCUGGCCAUCGGCCUCAGCUCGCCCCCAAGCUGGAACGAAGUUCUGACAAGAUGUGCAGUGCAAAAAGUAAAUCAUUAGCGUUCGCUGGACUGCUUCUCAGCUGCCUAGAAAUGAUAUUUUCAGCAAACACAGCUCCAGAUAUGCCUGUUAUUGACCAAGCUUAUUCAAAACUUAGCAACAGCAUCACAGUGGAAUGGAGAGCAGUACCUGGGGCUACUAAUUACAUGCUGACUGCAGAAGAUGGAGAUUCCUUUAUCGAAACGAUAGUAAAAAAUUCUCCAGGCACAGUGACGGGACUGAAGCCUGCCACCUUGUACCGAAUCACUGUCAGAUCUAUAAAUUCAGGAGGAAAAAGCCAGCCUUCACCUUCUAGAAAAGUAAAAACAGUCCUGGCUGCUCCGAUUCUGUCUGUCCGUUCUCUGACUUGUGACUCCAUUGCAGUGAGCUGGAAAGCUGUGCCUAUGGCAGCUGGCUUCUCUGUGUCACUCAUGAGAUCAGAUGGUUUGGGCAGAAUGCUGAAGCAGAACACCACUAAUACCUCCUUGAUAUUUACAAACCUAGAUCCAGGAACUCUUUAUACUAUCAAGGCUUAUGCCUGGAAUGCCAAUGGGAUGCCUGGAGAUGAUUUCACAUAUAACCAAAGAACAAGUCCUAAUGCACCAGUGGAUGUUAAAGUAGCUUUCAAUAGUGGUGCUUUAAGAGCUGUUGUCUCUUGGAUGCCAACAGAAGGAGCUCUAACUUACAGUGUCACAGUCUUCAGUGGACUCCUGAAACUGAGGUGUAACACAUCUUCUGCCUCCUGCGUGGUGCCAUCCCUCCAGUGCAGCUCUCAAUAUUAUGUGUCCGUCACUGCAUACAAUGAGGCUGGAUCCAGUGAACCUACUGAUGCAGUAAGCUUAAAAACUGUUCCUUGUGCACCAGUAAACAUCUCAAUUGAGGAGGAUGAACCUGCUCACUUGCUGGUGUCAUGGUCUAGCGUCAGUUUGGGUCAUUAUUAUGUGGUUUUUGUGAAGAGUGAUGAUGGCUUGGAAGUUCACUGCAACACAUCAUAUACUCAAUGCCAUUUCCAGUCCGACUGUGGUUACACUUAUUUCAUUAGCGUCUUUGCAUAUAACGAGGCAGGGCAGAGUCCUUUAGGUGAUGUAUUCAAUUACACUACUGCUCCUUGUUGCCCCAGUGAGUUCAGAGCCGUGUUCACGUCAAGCGACACGGUGCGGGUCACCUGGGCUCCCGUGCGAGGCGCUGACCUGUACGAGACCCGAGCAGCGGGCGGCAGCGGCGCGGUGCUGUGCAGGGACACGGCCACGGCCUGCACGCUGUCGGCUCUGCGGUGCAGCACCCCCUACAACAUCACCGUGUACUCCUUCAGCGAGGCCCGGGGCAGCAACACCUCCUGUGCGCCUCAGCACGUGGCCACAGCUCCCUGCAGUCCUGAAAUUAAAAAUAUCUCCAAGGAGGGUCUAUCUGUAAUCAGUGUGCAUUGGCAACCUAACAAUGAAGAAGCUAUGUAUGUUGUCACUGCCAGAGGAGAGGCUGGGCUUUGGCAUUGCACAAGCACCAGGAAUUCCUGUACCCUGAUGGAUCUUCCCUGUGGAUCUGCUUUCUCUGUAAGUGCUAUUGCAAGAUCACCAGCAGGACAGAGCUUACCAAGCUACAGUAUCCCUUUAGAGACAGCUCCUUGUUGCCCUAAUGACCUGACCCUAGCACAAGUGACACAGUCAGUAACCAAUAUCAGCUGGUCUGUUGGGAGGGGUGCACAGACAUACGUAACAGCUCUGGAGUCUCCAAAAGGACAGGCAAAGUGUCACACACUUCAGACCUACUGUCUCCUGGGAUGUAUCACAUGUGGCACCAACUAUACAGUGUCUCUGAGAGCCAUUAGUGAGACGGGUUUGACAUCCAGCUGCACCUACCAGGGAUAUUCUUCCAGUCCUUGCUGCCCUUCUGGGGUGAAGCUCUAUAGACUCAGCAAUGAUGGCAUCAGGGUGUUCUGGCGAGCUUCUGAUGAAACAAUAAACUACAAGGCUGACUUACAUGGCUCAAAGGGCAAUUUCAGCUGUACCCCCAGCUUGGGUCUGAGUCUCUGUGAUAUCACCAAGAUACCUUGUGGGGAUGUCUACACUGUGGUGGUAGCUCCAGUGACUGACAAGGAGCCAAAGCUCACAUUUUGUCCUAAGAAAAUAUAUUCAGUCACCUGUUCUGGAAGCUCUGUUGGAAUGGGUAAGAGCAGUACAUUCAUUAAAAAUUCAAUGAAGUUUAUAGAAUAUUUUUGCAUCAUCUUCAGAUAAGAUGCAUGUAGCAUAUAGAUUGGAUAAUCAAGGCUUCUGGUAGUGUUAAGCAGGUUUGUCUCAUCCCCUCCCCCAUCUUAUAAUGUAUAAAUUUAAAAAACCCCCCAAACCUUACCUAUAUUAUAGCCUGCAUACUAUCACGCAUGGUCACAACACUUGCUACUCAUUUGAUAGCACAUAAUAAAAGGCAGGUUUAUCUUUUAUAGCUUUCCCACAUCCCAUUACAAAUGAAGAUAAGUGACACUUCUUCUUUCUAUUUCCAAAAAGGUAAAAAAAAAGUGUGAUUUAUCUCAAUCUAUUCUACCUUAUUUAUUUGAGAUUUCAGCAAGAUAGUGCUUUAUUUUCUUAUGUAAACUGCUGGAAACAACUUCAAAAGCAGCCACUGAAACAAAAAUUUCUUAAGACAGUUGCUUUUCCGUAACUGAAAUUGUCCUAAUUUCCAAAUUCUUUUAUAGUUAUCUCUAGAGGAAAGAGCAAUGUAAAACACAUCUAGAUGGAAUUCUGGUUCAGCUAAGGAGUUUUUUCUCCUGAAACUGGAAAGACACAUCUGUGCCUAACUGCAACAUUCACAGCUGCUUGAGGACUGGGAGCAGGAAAGCCGAACACCUAGCCAUACCUGAGACCUAAUCCAGGCAGGACCUUCACUCAUACUCCAUAGUGGUUACUUUUUCAGCCGACUUGGAAAGCCAAGUUUAAGGUCAAUGGUUCUACACGUGUGUGUAAUCUAACAGUCUUCAGAAGCUCAUGUGCACAAAGGUAUCCAAAAGACUGCAGGGUUUUUAGCACUAUUUUCAGUUUAUAAAAACAGACACUAUCCAUUCUGGGAACUGCCUUUCUUCAGAGAACACAUCAGGUGUUAGGUAUCUCAGUCAGUGCUUCUGAUCAUUUGUGCAAGGUCCCAUGGGAAUCUCACGCUUCAGUAAGUUGCUUGUAGAUGGCCCAAGAAUUAAAUGCUGCUUCUUAAAACACAAUCUGCAUUCAGUCAUGAUCAAACAAGUCUUUCUUAAGGGAAGAUUAUUUAAAACUGCCCUGCAUUAGUUAAUAGAAAGUUGGCAUUAUUUUUCACUUAAUAAAAAAAUAAACAGCCUUCUUCCUUGAGGGUUCUAUUUCAAUAUUUCUUCCUUGCAGAUGUCAUUGUCAAACACUGUCACCACAGUGUAAGUGUUUAACUGGGUUUUCAGAGAUCUAAAGCAAUUGGUUUCUUUUAGAACCAAAUUCAAGCCCCAAACUACUACUUUACUCCUAAGCAAUUCUGGUAAUUCUAUGCUCUAUGCCAUUCUAAACUGUUGGUUAUGUUUUCGUAAUUCUCUCUGACAUACAGACCUUAACACCUCAAUUACACACUACAAACAACAAUGCUGUAAUACUGUUUUCAUCAACUCCUCUCCCUUUCGUCACUGAAGUGUGAUUGUAUCAGAAUGUAUUAUUUGCGCCUGUUGGGGGGAAAAAAGGCAAAAAAGCUGAAGAGGAGUCAUGAUUUCAAGGAAAAAACACAUUGAUUCAGCUCUAAAAAAGUGGGUAGCAGAUGUAUACAAUUAACAAAAGAGGGAGGAAAAGCAACACAAAGAAACUGAGCCAGAUACCCAUCUCCUACCAUGGCAGUGUGUAACCUCAAAGUGUUGUUAUUUAGGCAUUAGACACUGCCUGAUAACAAUGAUCUAACAGUUAACACUGCUGAUAAGUGAAAGGACACUGGUAUUCACUGAGCUGAUUAAAAAUUUUGGUCAGGUUUGGUUGCAGGUUCUCUCCAGACUGAGGUAAACACACAUUUAUGGGUCAUGGUGACUUCAGAUCACAGGAAAGGACAAUUAGAUGUCAUGUUUUUCUGGUCAUUGUUUCUGUACUAUUUACUUGAAUGAACCUCUGGACUUCAAGAAGCACAAAAACUCCAGGCAAUAAAAUUCUCAACCAAUCAAACAACAAAAAAAACCCACCAAAAACCCCCAAAUAACCCAACCCCACAGCCUCUUGAAAGAAACUUGAGAAUCAAGAAAACUGUUGAAGGCUUGGAGGUAGGCAGCAUAUGGAUAUGCUAAAAUGGACACUUUGAGAGCAGUAUCUGUGAAAUCACAUGGACUAACAAAUUAGGUGAUUAAAACCACCUAGGUUAUUUCAUAGCAUUAUUUAAUGCUUAAUAAAAAAUCUAAAUGCAAUGCAUAAAUAUGUAUUAGCUGGAAUCACACAAAUAUGAAUAUUAGCAAAAAAUUGUAUAUAUUAUUUAAAAUACACAUUGCUUUUAAUUGCAUCUGACACAGAAGUAAUACCUCAAAACUUAGGUUUUCAAUCCACUGAAAAAACUGGCAAAAAUCUACCUUUCAGCUGAUUGCAGACUUGACCCAAUUUUAGAGAUUUAGUAUUCUACCACAUCUAACUAUUGCUGGUGAAAAGAUACAAUGACAACUUCAUUGCAAAACCUCAAGAGUGACACUUAAAGGCUGUUUUACGCUGUUUAAUAAUUGGUGAUCAUCCAUACCUAAAGCUACAUGCACUUCACACAGUGGGGCAAAGGGCUCAAACAUCUAAAGCCAGCAGAAUUCAUAAAAUUCCUUCAGGUUCCCCUAAAGAGGGGAACUUGCACACUGUAGGAAGCUAUUAAUAUUACUAAUAAUAUUAAUAUUACUAUUACUAUUCCAGUACUUAGCAUUGGAGCCACAGGAAAUUUCCAAGCCAGAUGAAGCUUCACAAGGAUAACUAUCCCAGCUAGGCUAUUAUGGACACGUGGCAUACUAUGGAAACGUCGGGUUCAUAGUGCUUCGGUCAUAGUCAUUUAUCCUGAGAACUGAAGAGUGAGUGCACAGACUGUGAUACAACAGCUCUGCAACCACAGCUCCUCUAGCUACAAUUGGCAGAAAUUUUAUGUCCCCGAGAUUAAUGUCCAGUGCAGCUCUACUGCACUGCAACAAUCGCACCAGAGUGGGCAGCACCAGCACCUCCACUAGCUCAUCGGAGCUGCUUUCACAGCCCUGCAGUUCCUUCUGCUUUUUAAGGAAGGGCACGUGAAAUAAAAUAGCAUCAGAAAGACAAAAAGGAAUUAAGAGACCCUGAUUACAAACUAAACAGCUGUAUGACAAUAAAUCCAAGGAUAAUUUUAGACAAGUAUCUUGGGUUCAAGGGAUUUUCAUAGGGCUUGGUUGGCAGUGAAUAUUGUGCUGUCAAUUACACUGCUAACUCAACUACAUAAUAUCAAUCGUAAUUAAUUCAGAGGUCAAAAAGGACUAUUUAUAAAACAGGAAAAUAAAAGCACAGUCCUGAAAUUACCACACUUGUAAAGAGAUACUGGGAUGGGCCAGCCUUUGCACAAGCUGUAUCAAAAUGCCCACCAUCUCUGUUGCAGUGAGGCAGUGCUUGUCCAUGCUCAGGUCAAAGAUUGUCUCUUAAAUACCUGUAUUUUUUCCUGCAAAUAAACCACUCUUUCACUGUAUUCCCAACAGUCUCAGAAGAGGACGAAAUGCCCUGAAGGAACAACUGGAAAUCAGUAAUCCAUUUUCCCUGACAGAACACUGGUUCCACAGCCUCUCUGCCCAAGAACAUAUUUGUUUCAGAAACUGAAGGUCAAAAACAAGGCCAAAAGAAGCCCUCUAGACACAAACAAGAUAAAUUAAAGUUGUCCUCACUGUCUGGACAGAAUCCAUGCAAUCCACCGGCAGACUGCAGAGACAGUUCUAGUAAUCUACUAGACAGGAUAUUUCUUUGUUUCGCCAAUCUUAAAUGAAAGCUCAGUAUUUUAGUUUUACACUGCAAGGGAAUGAAUUUGUUGAAGCUUAAGUUUUGUUGCAAGCUCAGAUUUAAAAUCAGGUAACACAAAUAUAAGCAGACAGCUGUAACAACCUCACUACUAAAAAAUGCUGAUUAUUAAGGAUCAUGGAGAUAAAGAAUAUUACAGUUCAGAAAACAGGAAGAGCUGGGAGGAAGAAAAAAAGUUUGCUUCUUGGAAUACUAUGGAAUGAAGUACAUACUGCUGGAAGUCAAAACCUGUUUUCCCUGGAUGUUUAAAAUUAAAUACACCUAGAUGACCUACAUCACACAGAAGCACAAAAAGGCACAAAUAUUUUAUUUCUACCCUCAGGUUACUUCAUGAUUGAUUCCCAAUUCAUAUUCUUUCCAUCUUGGGGCUGCAGCAUUUCUGUUGUUUGCUACAUCUUUGUUGUUAAUUACUUAUUACAUAAAAUCCCUUAUUCAUACAAAGUGUCACUUGAUGAAAAUAAAAUGCGGAGGAACUGAAGCACUUUUUAACUGGCAAUGAAUGUGCAGGGAAAAGCUGACACUCAAUACAAAGGAAUUAAUUGAGAGUUUAUUCCAGAUGGUUCUCCUCACUUAAUAUACAAGUCAUCAGAAUAAUCUAUGAAAUAGACUUGGACUUUAAUGAUAUGGUCUUUUUCUAUAAUGCAUUUUGGUUUUGGCUUCUAACAACCUGUUUAAAAAAAAAAUCUGCCAGAUGAAAUGUUCAGCACAAACUGUGAUCUUUACUAUUUGUAGAAAAUAUGAAUUAAAAAAGGACACUAUCAGUUAAUUCUUAUUUUAAAUGUUUACACUUAUAAAAAUGCUUUGGAAGCUUGAAACUGAAA
Molecule: RNA transcript, 7675 nt
Organism: Catharus ustulatus (Swainson's thrush)
Lineage: Eukaryota; Metazoa; Chordata; Aves; Passeriformes; Turdidae
Gene: FNDC7
Gene name: fibronectin type III domain containing 7
Exons: 12
Source: RefSeq, a predicted model, not a curated record